GAUGAACGCUGGCGGCGUGCCUAAUACAUGCAAGUCGAGCGAACAGAUAAGGAGCUUGCUCCUUUGACGUUAGCGGCGGACGGGUGAGUAACACGUGGAUAACCUACCUAUAAGACUGGGAUAACUUCGGGAAACCGGAGCUAAUACCGGAUAACAUAUUGAACCGCAUGGUUCAAUAGUGAAAGGCGGCUUUGCUGUCACUUAUACAUGGAUCCGCGCCGUAUUAGCUAGUUGGUAAGGUAACGGCUUACCAAGGCAACGAUACGUAGCCGACCUGAGAGGGUGAUCGACAACACUGGAACUGAGACACGGUCAAGACUCCUACGGGAGGCAGCAGUAGGGAAUCUGCCGCAAUGGGAGAAAGCCUGACGGAGCAACGCCGCGUGAGUGAUGAAGGUCUUCGGAUCGUAAAACUCUGUUAUCAGGGAAGAACAAAUGUGUAAGUAACUGUGCACAUCUUGACGGUACCUGAUCAGAAAGCCACGGCUAACUACGUG
Molecule: ribosomal RNA, 497 nt
Filed under: uncultured bacterium
Lineage: Bacteria
Description: partial 16S ribosomal RNA
Rfam family: Bacterial small subunit ribosomal RNA
Source: RNAcentral